This 811-nucleotide long non-coding RNA is filed under the name Nicotiana benthamiana. RNAcentral describes it as "long non-coding RNA (NBEN_LNC024656)". The record is from RNAcentral. Lineage: Eukaryota; Viridiplantae; Streptophyta; Magnoliopsida; Solanales; Solanaceae.
AUAAACACACCCUAAAUAUUUUGCAGCCGUCAUACCCAAACAGCCCCUCUUCUCUUCUUCUUCUACACCUUAACCCUAAAUCACCCUAAAAACCACCAGCCCCCUCACCCAAAACAGGACCACGUCGUUCACCCCUAGCAGUCCGCCAACGACUAAGUCACGACGUCAACAGCCCCCCAUCAUCUCCGACCAGCAGCUGAACCAUCAUCUCCAUCCCAAACAACCACGACAUCGUCUUCCUCACGUCGCUGACCAGCGACCAAACACCAUCUCUGUCGCUGCUUCGCCAGCAUUCAUCUUCUUCAUCCAGCAGCAGUCGAAGUCGAACACCUCUAAUCGUCGAACACCUCUAGUCGUCGAACCGGCAGCAACAGCAAGUUGUUGUCUUCGUCUUCCUCACCCGCAGCUCUCACGUCCAAACAACCACCCAUGUCGCUAACCACUCAAACGACCAAAACAGCCCUCGUCAUUAUUCUGUCCAACGUAACAUCUCUGUGAGUUUGAGUACCUGCUUUUCCAUUGAGGUCGAUAGUUCCUCGAGGUAAUGUCGUUGUUUUCCGGUUCGAGUUUCGUCCCGAGUUCAAAAUUUCCGGACAGAUUAGAUUUUAUGUGGUUUCAAAGUUUCCGAGCAAAUUUGUUUUCGUUCGAGUUCGGCGUUAUUCUGAUCUGGUUAGUUGGUUUAAGUUUCAUUAAUGUCCGUAUUUUAUUUGAUAUUCUCGGAUAUGAAAUCAGUGUGUGUUAGAUUCUUUCUUGUUCGUUGUUUAUCAUUUCUUGAUUAUUUCUUCAGUUUGUUUCUAUUUAUUUGUCCUUG